AUUGAACGCUGGCGGCAUGCCUUACACAUGCAAGUCGAACGGUAACGGGCCUUCGGGUGCCGACGAGUGGCGAACGGGUGAGUAGUACAUCGGAACGUGCCCGAUCGUGGGGGAUAACGAGGCGAAAGCUUUGCUAAUACCGCAUACGAUCUACGGAUGAAAGCAGGGGACCGCAAGGCCUUGCGCGGACGGAGCGGCCGAUGGCAGAUUAGGUAGUUGGUGGGAUAAAAGCUUACCAAGCCGACGAUCUGUAGCUGGUCUGAGAGGAUGAUCAGCCACACUGGGACUGAGACACGGCCCAGACUCCUACGGGAGGCAGCAGUGGGGAAUUUUGGACAAUGGGCGCAAGCCUGAUCCAGCCAUGCCGCGUGCAGGAUGAAGGCCUUCGGGUUGUAAACUGCUUUUGUACGGAACGAAAAGCCUUCUUUUAAUACAGGAGGGUCAUGACGGUACCGUAAGAAUAAGCACCGGCUAACUACGUG
Molecule: ribosomal RNA, 482 nt
Filed under: uncultured bacterium
Lineage: Bacteria
Description: partial 16S ribosomal RNA
Rfam family: Bacterial small subunit ribosomal RNA
Source: RNAcentral